GGGUGGUAAUGCCGGAUGCUCCGACUCCUCGCAUGGGGUGUCGGGAAAGAUUCAUCGGUAUGGGAUGGGGUCGCGUCCUAUCAGGUAGUCGGCGGGGUAACGGCCCACCGAGCCUACGACGGGUAGCCGGCCUGAGAGGGCGACCGGCCACAUUGGGACUGAGAUACGGCCCAGACUCCUACGGGAGGCAGCAGUGGGGAAUAUUGCACAAUGGGCGCAAGCCUGAUGCAGCGACGCCGCGUGCGGGAUGACGGCCUUCGGGUUGUAAACCGCUUUUGAUCGGGAGCAAGCCUUCGGGUGAGUGUACCUUUCGAAUAAGCACCGGCUAACUACGUGCCAGCAGCCGCGGUAAUACGUAGGGUGCAAGCGUUAUCCGGAAUUAUUGGGCGUAAAGGGCUCGUAGGCGGUUCGUCGCGUCCGGUGUGAAAGUCCAUCGCUUAACGGUGGAUCUGCGCCGGGUACGGGCGGGCUGGAGUGCGGUAGGGGAGACUGGAAUUCCCGGUGUAACGGUGGAAUGUGUAGAUAU
Molecule: ribosomal RNA, 526 nt
Filed under: Bifidobacterium pseudocatenulatum
Lineage: Bacteria; Bacillati; Actinomycetota; Actinomycetes; Bifidobacteriales; Bifidobacteriaceae
Description: bacterial SSU rRNA
Rfam family: Bacterial small subunit ribosomal RNA
Source: RNAcentral